RNAcentral lists this small RNA (304 nucleotides) under uncultured fungus. RNAcentral's name for it is "eukaryotic LSU rRNA". The stretch from base 250 to 304 matches the Rfam family "Eukaryotic large subunit ribosomal RNA", at positions 1 to 55 of the family's 3401-position model. Lineage: Eukaryota; Fungi. The record is from RNAcentral.
AAGGGCAUGCCUGUUUGANUANNAUGAACACCUCAACUCUCAUGGCUUUGCCGUGACGAGCUUGGACUUUGGGGGUCUUGCNGGCCUGUGGUCGGCUCCUCUCAAAUGAAUUAGCUUGCCAGUGUUUGGUGGCAUCACGGGUGUGAUAACUAUCUACGCUUGUGGUUUUCCACCAGGUAACCUUCAGUGAUGAAGGUUCGCUGGGGCUCAUAAAUGUCUCUCCUCAGCGAGGACAGCUCUUUGAACGUUUGAUCUCAAAUCAGGUAGGACUACCCGCUGAACUUAAGCAUAUCAAUAAGCGGAG